RNAcentral lists this ribosomal RNA (486 nucleotides) under uncultured bacterium. RNAcentral's name for it is "partial 16S ribosomal RNA". It matches the Rfam family "Bacterial small subunit ribosomal RNA", at positions 29 to 507 of the family's 1533-position model. The record is from RNAcentral.
AUUGAACGCUGGCGGCAUGCCUUACACAUGCAAGUCGAACGGCAGCACGGGUGCUUGCACCUGGUGGCGAGUGGCGAACGGGUGAGUAAUACAUCGGAACACGUCCUGUAGUGGGGGAUAGCCCGGCGAAAGCCGGAUUAAGACCGCAUACGAUCUACGGAUGAAAGCGGGGGACCGUCGGGCCUCGCGCUAUAGGGUUGGCCGAUGGCUGAUUAGCUAGUGGGUGGGGUAAAGGCCUACCAAGGCGACGAGCAGUAGCUGGUCUGAGAGGACGACCAGCCACACUGGGACUGAGACACGGCCCAGACUCCUACGGGAGGCAGCAGUGGGGAAUUUUGGACAAUGGGCGAAAGCCUGAUCCAGCAAUGCCGCGUGUGUGAAGAAGGCCUUCGGGUUGUAAAGCACUUUUGUCCGGAAAGAAAACCUUGGCCCUAAUACGGUCGGGGGAUGACGGUACCGGAAGAAUAAGCACCGGCUAACUACGUG